RNAcentral lists this ribosomal RNA (512 nucleotides) under uncultured Bacillota bacterium. RNAcentral's name for it is "bacterial SSU rRNA". It matches the Rfam family "Bacterial small subunit ribosomal RNA", at positions 355 to 857 of the family's 1533-position model. The record is from RNAcentral. Lineage: Bacteria; Bacillati; Bacillota.
UAGGGAAUCUUCCGCAAUGGACGAAAGUCUGACGGAGCAACGCCGCGUGAGUGAUGAAGGUUUUCGGAUCGUAAAACUCUGUUGUUAGGGAAGAACAAGUACCGUUCGAAUAGGGCGGUACCUUGACGGUACCUAACCAGAAAGCCACGGCUAACUACGUGCCAGCAGCCGCGGUAAUACGUAGGUGGCAAGCGUUGUCCGGAAUUAUUGGGCGUAAAGCGCGCGCAGGUGGUUUCUUAAGUCUGAUGUGAAAGCCCACGGCUCAACCGUGGAGGGUCAUUGGAAACUGGGGAACUUGAGUGCAGAAGAGGAAAGUGGAAUUCCAAGUGUAGCGGUGAAAUGCGUAGAUAUUUGGAGGAACACCAGUGGCGAAGGCGACUUUCUGGUCUGUAACUGACACUGAGGCGCGAAAGCGUGGGGAGCAAACAGGAUUAGAUGCCCUGGUAGUCCACGCCGUAAACGAUGAGUGCUUAGUGUUAGAGGGUUUCCGCCCUUUAGUGCUGCAGCUAACG